GAUGAAGAACGCAGCGAAAUGCGAUAAGUAAUGUGAAUUGCAGAGUUUUGUGAAUCAUCGAAUCUUUGAACGCACAUUGCGCCCCUCGGUAUUCCGACGGGCAUGCCUGUCCGAGCGUCGUUUGCAACCCAUCGAGUAACAUUUCUCGGUCUUGGGCGCCGUCCGCCCCCUCGGGGGAUCGGACGGGCCCCAAAGCCCUCGGCGGCCCCGCGUGCCCCGCCGGAGCGUCUUCGAAAGCAAUCGCUCCGGCGCGUCGCGCCCCGGGACCAAGCCGGCACCGCGGCCCCCCCAAAGGGGUCGCACCCCCAACACCAAACGUCUGACCUCGGAUCAGGUAGGGCUACCCGCUGAACUUAAGCAUAUCAAUAAGCGGAGGA
RNAcentral lists this unclassified non-coding RNA (377 nucleotides) under soil metagenome. Its description in RNAcentral is "partial contains 5.8S ribosomal RNA, internal transcribed spacer 2, and large subunit ribosomal RNA". The stretch from base 1 to 120 matches the Rfam family "5.8S ribosomal RNA", at positions 35 to 154 of the family's 154-position model. The record is from RNAcentral.